UUAAAGACGAUGAGGUAGAUAGGCUAGGAGUGGAAGCAUAGCGAUAUGUGGAGCGGACUAGUACUAAUCAGUCGAGCACUUGACCAAA
This 88-nucleotide ribosomal RNA is filed under the name Lactobacillus gasseri. RNAcentral's name for it is "partial 23S ribosomal RNA". It matches the Rfam family "Bacterial large subunit ribosomal RNA", at positions 2838 to 2925 of the family's 2925-position model. Lineage: Bacteria; Bacillati; Bacillota; Bacilli; Lactobacillales; Lactobacillaceae. The record is from RNAcentral.